AUGCACAAGGCGUCGUCGCUGUCGGAGCUGGGCUUCGACUCCGGCGGCGCGUCGUCGGGCUUCUUCCGGCCCGUGGCCGACGGCUGCCCGGUCACCCGACCUCCUCCGCCGUCCCGCACCGCCGCCUCACCAAGAUCUCCGUCAUCGGCGCCGGCAACGUGGGCAUGGCCAUCGCGCAGACCAUCCUCACCCAGAACCUGGCCGACGAGAUCGCGCUCGUCGACGCGCUCCCCGACAAGCUCCGCGGCGAGGCGCUCGACCUGCAGCACGCCGCCGCCUUCCUCCCGCGCGUCCGCAUCGUCUCCGGCACCGACGCCGCCGUCACCAAGAACUCCGACCUCGUCAUCGUCACGGCCGGGGCCAGGCAGAUCCCCAGCGAGACCAGGCUCAACCUGCUGCAGCGGAACGUCGCCCUCUACCGCAAGAUCGUGCCGCCCGUCGCCAAGCACUCCCAGGACGCGCUGCUGCUCGUCGUCUCCAACCCCGUCGACGUGCUCACCUACGUCGCAUGGAGGCUCUCCGGCUUCCCCGCCAGCCGCGUCAUCGGCUCCGGCAUACAUGGUGGGUGAGCACGGCGACAGCUCGGUGGCGAUCUGGUCAAGCAUCAGCGUGGGCGGGAUGCCGGCGUUCAAGUCGCUGCGCGACAGCCACCGGAACUUCGACGAGGCGGCGCUGGAGGGGAUCCGGCGCGCCGUGGUGGGCGGCGCCUACGAGGUGAUCGGCCUCAAGGGGUACACCUCUUGGGCCAUUGGCUACUCUGUUGCCAGCCUCGCUGCUUCCCUCCUCCGCGACCAGCGUCGCGUGCACCCUGUCUCUGUCCUUGCCUCGGGCUUCCAUGGCAUCUCAGACGGCCACGAGGUGUUCCUCAGCCUGCCCGCCCGCCUCGGCCGCGGCGGCAUCCUCGGCGUCGCCGAGAUGGACCUCACCGAGGCCGAGGCCGCGCAGCUCCGGCGCUCGGCCAAGACGCUCUGGGAGAACUGCCAGCUCCUCGACCUCUGA
Molecule: ribosomal RNA, 999 nt
Filed under: Triticum aestivum (bread wheat)
Lineage: Eukaryota; Viridiplantae; Streptophyta; Magnoliopsida; Poales; Poaceae
Description: partial small subunit ribosomal RNA
Source: RNAcentral